This 367-nucleotide ribosomal RNA is filed under the name uncultured bacterium. RNAcentral's name for it is "bacterial SSU rRNA". It matches the Rfam family "Bacterial small subunit ribosomal RNA", at positions 997 to 1367 of the family's 1533-position model. The record is from RNAcentral.
CCGGCAGAGAUUGUCGGUUUCCCUUGUGGCCUGUGUGCAGGUGGUUGCAUGGCUGUCGUCAGCUCGUGUCGUGAGAUGUUGGGUUAAGUCCCGCAACGAGCGCAACCCUUGUCUCAUGUUGCCAGCGCGUUAUGCGGGACUCGUGAGAGACGCCGGGGUCAACUCGGAGGAAGGUGGGGAUGACGUCAAGUCAUCAUGCCCCUUAUGUCCAGGGCUUUCACACAUGCUACAAUGGCCAGGUACAAAGGGCUGCGAUGCCGUGAGGUGGAGCGAAUCCUUUCAAAGCCGGUCUCAGUUGGGGUCUGCAACUCGACCCCGUGAAGUCGGAGUCGCUAGUAAUCGCAANUCAGCAGCGCUGCAGGUAAAU